Molecule: unclassified non-coding RNA, 999 nt
Filed under: Hevea brasiliensis (rubber tree)
Lineage: Eukaryota; Viridiplantae; Streptophyta; Magnoliopsida; Malpighiales; Euphorbiaceae
Source: RNAcentral
GCUAAAUCUAUCUAACUCUAUUUAAGAAUUUUUUCCCUUACUCGAAGAUCAUUUCAUCAAACGAAAGAAGAAACAUCCCGAUCCAAUGACACUUGCAGCUGGUGGGGGAGAGUGGGGGGAUGGUGGGUUUGUAACUCAGCCUAGCUGACACAACAUGGAUUCAAUUGAUUUUGCAGCCUAUCAGAAGGGUAAAUUAAGCAUCUGGGCAAACACCAGGGAAUCAGUCUCAAAAAUAGCUUGCUCUACCCCUUUUGUGGAAGCUAAAUAACAGCUUGUAGCGCUUGAGCUUCUGCUGCCAAGGGACAGAAACAGGGUGUCCUGCAGUGAAACCCAUCCACCAAAGUAGCAUUAUAGUCUCUUGUGACACAAGCAAUUCUUGCCGGCCACAAAAGACGCGUCCACAUUAAACUUCAAGCAGCUAGGGCAAGGAGCACACAAGUGCUGCAGGGGAUGAAAUAUCGAGCUCUGAGGAACAGGCAGAGAAUGCUCUAGCUUGGAGACAGAAGAAGAGAAUGUGCUCCGUAGUUUCCUCCUGAUGCCCAUGAAGGGAACGCGCAAGGAAGGAUAACAUUUUGUCUUAAAAAGUUUGGCUCUUAUAGCAAGGGAAUCAGAAGCAGCUCUCUAUAAAAAGGAUUGAUUUUUGGAGGGAACUGUAAAGCCAAAUGCUUUGCCAAAACUUAUUUAAAGAAGAUGAGAAAGUAGAAGAAGCUCGCUAGAGAUCUUGGAUAGGAUUUGUUUCAGCUGAUUUUACUGUUAGAAUUCCAUUAUGAAUAAUUAAAAUGCCUGACCCUUACGUCCUCUCUUUGAUUUUGCGUGACUGGAAUCUUCAGGAUUUCUCUGCCACACCUACUCUCAAGUUGUGAUCCCCACGGUUAUGCGGCACGCGAUACACGACUUGACUUUGACACUUUCUCAGCAACCAAACAGGGAAAGAAGAAGCAGCAGUGGACCAAGCACAAAUCCCGGAAGAGACGUGUACUUGCAGAAGCAGAGGACGAG